Molecule: ribosomal RNA, 253 nt
Filed under: uncultured bacterium
Lineage: Bacteria
Description: partial 16S ribosomal RNA
Rfam family: Bacterial small subunit ribosomal RNA
Source: RNAcentral
UACGGAGGGAGCUAGCGUUGUUCGGAAUUACUGGGCGUAAAGCGCACGUAGGCGGCUUUGUAAGUUAGAGGUGAAAGCCCGGAGCUCAACUCCGGAAUUGCCUUUAAGACUGCAUCGCUUGAAUCCGGGAGAGGUGAGUGGAAUUCCGAGUGUAGAGGUGAAAUUCGUAGAUAUUCGGAAGAACACCAGUGGCGAAGGCGGCUCACGGGACCGGUAUUGACGCUGAGGUGCGAAAGCGUGGGGAGCAAACAGG